GACGAACGCUGGCGGCGUGCCUAAUACAUGCAAGUUGAGCGCUGAAGGUUGGUACUUGUACCAACUGGAUGAGCAGCGAACGGGUGAGUAACGCGUGGGGAAUCUGCCUUUGAGCGGGGGACAACAUUUGGAAACGAAUGCUAAUACCGCAUAAAAACUUUAAACACAAGUUUUAAGUUUGAAAGAUGCAAUUGCAUCACUCAAAGAUGAUCCCGCGUUGUAUUAGCUAGUUGGUGAGGUAAAGGCUCACCAAGGCGAUGAUACAUAGCCGACCUGAGAGGGUGAUCGGCCACAUUGGGACUGAGACACGGCCCAAACUCCUACGGGAGGCAGCAGUAGGGAAUCUUCGGCAAUGGACGAAAGUCUGACCGAGCAACGCCGCGUGAGUGAAGAAGGUUUUCGGAUCGUAAAACUCUGUUGGUAGAGAAGAACGUUGGUUAGAGUGGAAAGCUCAUCAAGUGACGGUAACUACCCAGAAAGGGACGGCUAACUACGUG
Molecule: ribosomal RNA, 497 nt
Filed under: uncultured bacterium
Lineage: Bacteria
Description: partial 16S ribosomal RNA
Rfam family: Bacterial small subunit ribosomal RNA
Source: RNAcentral